AGGGGGAUAACUACUGGAAACGGUAGCUAAUACCGCAUAACGUCUUCGGACCAAAGUGGGGGACCUUCGGGCCUCACGCCAUCAGAUGUGCCCAGAUGGGAUUAGCUAGUAGGUGGGGUAAUGGCUCACCUAGGCGACGAUCCCUAGCUGGUCUGAGAGGAUGACCAGCCACACUGGAACUGAGACACGGUCCAGACUCCUACGGGAGGCAGCAGUGGGGAAUAUUGCACAAUGGGCGCAAGCCUGAUGCAGCCAUGCCGCGUGUGUGAAGAAGGCCUUCGGGUUGUAAAGCACUUUCAGCGAGGAGGAAGGGCAGUGUGUUAAUAGCACAUUGCAUUGACGUUACUCGCAGAAGAAGCACCGGCUAACUCCGUGCCAGCAGCCGCGGUAAUACGGAGGGUGCAAGCGUUAAUCGGAAUUACUGGGCGUAAAGCGCACGCAGGCGGUUUGUUAAGUCAGAUGUGAAAUCCCCGCGCUUAACGUGGGAACUGCAUUUGAAACUGGCAAGCUAGAGUCUUGUAGAGGGGGGUAGAAUUCCAGGUGUAGCGGUGAAAUGCGUA
RNAcentral lists this ribosomal RNA (560 nucleotides) under Serratia sp. C6-3. RNAcentral describes it as "bacterial SSU rRNA". It matches the Rfam family "Bacterial small subunit ribosomal RNA", at positions 137 to 692 of the family's 1533-position model. Lineage: Bacteria; Pseudomonadati; Pseudomonadota; Gammaproteobacteria; Enterobacterales; Yersiniaceae. The record is from RNAcentral.